Molecule: transfer RNA, 71 nt
Filed under: Roseibium album
Lineage: Bacteria; Pseudomonadati; Pseudomonadota; Alphaproteobacteria; Hyphomicrobiales; Stappiaceae
Description: Labrenzia alba tRNA
Rfam family: tRNA
About the family: Transfer RNA (tRNA) molecules are approximately 80 nucleotides in length. Their secondary structure includes four short double-helical elements and three loops (D, anti-codon, and T loops).
Source: Rfam by way of RNAcentral
GCGCAUGAAGUUCAACGGUUGAACGCCGGGAUAUAACCCGGAGGCAACAGGUUCGACUCCUGUCAUGUGUA